RNAcentral lists this ribosomal RNA (253 nucleotides) under uncultured bacterium. Its description in RNAcentral is "partial 16S ribosomal RNA". It matches the Rfam family "Bacterial small subunit ribosomal RNA", at positions 524 to 776 of the family's 1533-position model. The record is from RNAcentral.
UACAGAGGUGGCAAGCGUUGUUCGGAAUUACUGGGCGUAAAGGGCGCGUAGGCGGCCUUCUAAGUCAGACGUGAAAUCCCCCGGCUUAACCUGGGAACUGCGUCUGAUACUGGGAGGCUAGAGUAUGGGAGAGGGAUGUAGAAUUCCAGGUGUAGCGGUGAAAUGCGUAGAUAUCUGGAGGAAUACCGGUGGCGAAGGCGGCAUCCUGGACCAUUACUGACGCUGAGGAGCGAAAGCGUGGGGAGCGAACAGG